CCUGAAUACGUUCAAAGCCAUGGUAUGCUAGGCAAGGUAUAAACACAAAGAAAGUCUGUACCUGAGAGCUUAGAGACAAAUACGACAAAGCAGAAGGAAAAGAGGAAAUUGUUACCCUUACUUUACAGAGUCUUAGAAAGAUUGAUGUGACUUGCCCAAACUCCUGUAGAAACUCUGGGGAAUUGAACAGAGACCACUGGAGUCUCAACACAAAAUCUUAAUUACUGAAUCCAAUUUUCCACUCUUCCUUUCACAUGGCUUUUUCAUACAUUAAAACACUUCACAUAAGCUUCACUUCUUUUCUCCCAGGAGGAAUAGCAAAGGCUGCAAGUUGCCCUUGUUAAACUAGGUUGCAGAUCCAAACAAAUUUAAAAUGAUAUCUCAGCAAGAUUUUGCAACCUGCCUGUGACAAAUAAAAGGACUUUCACCCUGAAAAUGCGUGAGCACUGGGGAAGACUAGCUGAGAGAAUUUAGCAAGACUCUUAAUGAAAGAGCCGAGCUACAGUAUGUAUAUGCAUGAGCUCAUGUAUUAUUAAAACCAUUAUGAUCAGAAUAAGCGUUGUGAGCACAGUACUGAAAGUGUCACUAGCAUUCAUGCAUCGAAUAACUUGCCCUCAUAAAGGAAGGAGAAGAUUUAUGGGAAUUAAGAACAAGGCUCAGGAAACUUGGAUGUAGUGACCAGCUCUGUAGGCGGCCUUCUGAGGGAUCCUAAACAACGAUUCUUCAGCCAGAACCUGACAAGUGUGGACACUUUUUCUGGGCUUAAGCACUCUUUAUAUUGCUACUGAAUGAUUUCUCUCUGCACCAGCUGCAUAACCUCAGUCACCAUCAUAAGAACUGCAAGAAAGGACAGCUGAGGAGCAGGAACAUCAGGAAGAGAUCAAGGACUAAGACUACUGAACUAUGAGAUUAAUUUCAUCUAAAUCUGAUAUUUUCCAGGAAUCAUUCUUUUACAAUUCAUUUUUGGGUCCUAUUGACUUCAAAAUUGUGACAAGUUAACUUCUACAAUUGAAUGAAAGCUGGAGGUAUUCAACACCUGAACGUUCACUCUACUACCAUGCAAAAAUGUAAAAGCACAGAGAAAGCACAGAUGAACUGUAUGACUGAGAGAAUUAAGAGACCCACCUUUGUUUUCCCAUUUCUUAAGAACAUAAAGAAUUGACCAGUUUCAGUUCUCUGAGAGUCAGUAAUUCAAUAAAAUGUUACAUACUUCUUAAUAUGCAGGCAAGUCAGAAAUCAAUGGCAGGGUAAAACUUUAAAAAGUUAAUGAAUUAUUUAGGGCUCUCUCUUAACUGAGCAUUUUUUCAGGCAUGUUUUUGAGUAGCUAAGUGGAUUUGGAGACCUAGUUAUUUUUCUAAUACAGUCUCUGCCAUUAGCUCUUCAUCUGCCUAAAGUCUAACUAGCUACAGCUAAGAGUGAAGGCUGAAGACUUAACAUAGUGAGUCAUGAUGGCUUAACAAGUUACCACCUGUCUCCUCAGCUGACAUCACUGUCCAUCACUUUUUCCCCCCUGAAGUCAAGGCAAAAUGCAUGAGACUCAACCCCAUUCAUUACCACUUAAGCUAGGAAAUCUAAUUCUUCAGGCAAUCUCAGAGCACGCACCCAUGUAGUUACAGAGGCUUAGUAAAUACAUAAUAGCUUUAAUGAGCUUCUGUAACACAAUUCAAGACAAUGGCCUUACUAAACACAGAAUGGCAUUCUAUUUCAGCAGUUUAGCUCUUCGAAUCUGCUCUGCAAGUUCUCACCCUGCUUUUCCUUAAGCAAAGCCAAUACGAAGCUGCCCUUGAUAAAGAAGUGUUGUUCUGGACAUAUGCUCAUUUCUCAUCCUGUACAGAGAGAGACAUAGGAAGGGAAGAAACCCCAAUAUCAACAUUGUAGCUAAAUUAGAUACGGUUACACUUAUAUAACUCUUAGUGCUGGUUAUUUUAUCCCCCAUUUCUUUUAAAUGUCUCUUGCCACAAGCUCAUUUUGCCCGAUAUAAGCAGCUUCUCUGCUAGGAAAUGUAUUGGUAUAAUUUACAAAACUAUUUCUGCAUCACAAAAGCUAGCAUAGACUGGGUCUUGGUAAAUAAAAUAGAACUUACGGUCAGCUUUUCUAAAGAGCUCAGCACAUAAUAGCUCACUUCACUGUAUGCUUUUGAAAGCUGGACUGCAUUAAGGUGUCUUUAUGGGAUCAGGGUUUGAAAUAACUCAAAUCCAGUAUUUACUCUGAGGGUGCCUUAGCUCAAGAAUAGAGACCUUGGCUUUUCCAGGGAGGGAGGGAGAAGUAAUGAAGGGUAAGGAGGGAAGUGAAAGGUGAGAUUGCCCUUUUUCCCCCAUAUGCUUUUUGUUUUUUUCCACAUGUAUUCCUGAAGGAUGUAGAGGAAAAAAAGCAGAGCAGGUCUGCAUUGUCAGGAAGCAGACGAUCCAAGAUAAAGCAGAUUACUUUUUUUUCCCCCCCCUCAAACAUCAAGACGCUCAGGGAGGUCCUGUCCUUGCCUUAAACACCGCCUUCUCUACUGCUGUGAAAAUAGCUAUAUGCUACCCCUUGAUUAGAGAGCAAUCUCUAUCCCUUAAAAAGAGAUGGGUCAUCCCUUACUGGAACAGCACAAAGUAAAUCAAGAAGGGCUGACUUAAUUGCUGAAGAUUUGGUACAAAUUCCCACCUGUUCUGACUCAAGGGCUUGUGAAAUACCACCGAAGCUUUUUUUUUUUGUAAAAAUAAGAUACUUUUCCAUAUUGUAGCUGCCCUGUUAACCUUAUAAUCCUAUCCCCUUUUCAUACAGCAGAUGUGUCGUGGCCAUCUUCAUUUUGAUCUGGACUUGCAAAAGGCUUCAGUUCAUCUAUAACUUGAUGCUGUCAGUGCUGCUUGUUGCUGUAGUAACAAAGUAGUAUAUAUACCUUCAAGAAUCAUUGUUACAGAACUGCUG
This 2907-nucleotide long non-coding RNA is filed under the name Meleagris gallopavo (turkey). RNAcentral describes it as "lncRNA (ENSMGAG00000019029.1)". Lineage: Eukaryota; Metazoa; Chordata; Aves; Galliformes; Phasianidae. The record is from RNAcentral.